Molecule: ribosomal RNA, 510 nt
Filed under: uncultured bacterium
Lineage: Bacteria
Description: partial 16S ribosomal RNA
Rfam family: Bacterial small subunit ribosomal RNA
Source: RNAcentral
GACGAACGCUGGCGGCGUGCUUAACACAUGCAAGUCGAACGAAGAGCGAUGGAAGCUUGCUUCUCUCAAUCUUAGUGGCGAACGGGUGAGUAACGCGUAAUCAACCUGCCCUUCAGAGGGGGACAACAGUUGGAAACGACUGCUAAUACCGCAUACGAUCCGACCUCGGCAUCGAGGAUGGAUGUAAGGUGGUCUCUAUUUAUAAGCUAUCACUGAAGGAGGGGAUUGCGUCUGAUUAGCUAGUUGGAGGGGUAACGGCCCACCAAGGCAAUGAUCAGUAGCCGGUCUGAGAGGAUGAGCGGCCACAUUGGGACUGGGACACGGCCCAGACUCCUACGGGAGGCAGCAGUGGGGAAUCUUCCGGAAUGGACGAAAGUCUGACGGAGCAACGCCGCGUGAGUGAUUACGGCCGUCGGGUUGUAAAGCUCUGUUAAUCGGGACGAAAGGUCUUCUUGCGAAUAGUUAGAAGAAUUGACGGUACCGGAAGAGAAAGCCACGGCUAACUACGUG